Molecule: long non-coding RNA, 925 nt
Organism: Onychostoma macrolepis
Lineage: Eukaryota; Metazoa; Chordata; Actinopteri; Cypriniformes; Cyprinidae
Exons: 6
Source: RefSeq, a predicted model, not a curated record
UACUUGUAACAGACAGUAAAUCAGCGACUUUUCCGUAGUGUCUACUGCAGGAUGGAUAUAAAGUUGUAAAAUACGUUUUGGUUUGACAACAUCGUUCAUAUGUGAACUACCACAAUUAAAGCACAAAGACAUAACAUUACACCCCGAGACCAUUCACAAGUGCUACAAAAGAGAAGAAACGCUUUCCAGAAGAAGUUCAUCAGGCAAGCAGGAGCAUUGACUUUGUCGACUCAUCCAGUUUAGCGGAGAGCAUCAACCCCUAAUUGACAUGAGGAAAAAAUCAUUGAAAAGUGUUCAGUGUACAGUGUACCCCUCUUUGCAACGGAGGAAGCAUUGGGAAAGAGGAGACGAGAGAAAGUGAAAAGGCACUCAACAGAUGUUGGAAAAUGCACUGGUAACAACUAAAAAAAGACGACCAAAAAUAUAAUUCAACAGAGGAUGAUGGCUGGUGAAUCAAGCACUCAAAUAAUGGAACUAAGACCAGUGGGAGUGCUGGAGAAAUCAAGUGUAUAAGUCCUCUGUCUCCUCAGCCAUGGAAGAGAUCUUCAGACAUGAAGAGAUUGAGGAGUUAAAUGAAAUCAAAGAGCUAAAAGAAGAUCUACAAUACUAGUGCCAUUUCAGUAUGAAAACAGAGAGAGAGAGCUGAGGCAGUGGAAAGAAAUGCAUGUUAUUGUGCAAGGGGUAGUGCCAUGGACUAUCAGUGGAGGAACAGAAAGCUCUGAGAUUUCAUUAUAAAGAUCUUCAUUUCUGUUCUGAAGAUGAACGAAAGACUUGCGGGUUUGGAACGUCAUGAGGACUACAUCCAAACUAGUGUUUCCACAUCUGAGAUAAAGGCAGUCAUAAGAACCAAGCAGAACAAUGAGGAUAAGCUCUUCAGAAAAUGAAACCUGUCAGAAUAAUGAGGGAAGAAAUGUACAUGAUUGCG